AGUGAACGCUGGCGGUAGGCCUAACACAUGCAAGUCGAACGGCAGCACAGUAAGAGCUUGCUCUUACGGGUGGCGAGUGGCGGACGGGUGAGGAAUACAUCGGAAUCUACUUUUUCGUGGGGGAUAACGUAGGGAAACUUACGCUAAUACCGCAUACGACCUACGGGUGAAAGCAGGGGAUCUUCGGACCUUGCGCGAUUGAAUGAGCCGAUGUCGGAUUAGCUAGUUGGCGGGGUAAAGGCCCACCAAGGCGACGAUCCGUAGCUGGUCUGAGAGGAUGAUCAGCCACACUGGAACUGAGCCACGGUCCAGACUCCUACGGGAGGCAGCAGUGGGGAAUAUUGGACAAUGGGCGCAAGCCUGAUCCAGCCAUACCGCGUGGGUGAAGAAGGCCUUCGGGUUGUAAAGCCCUUUUGUUGGGAAGGAAAAGCAGCAGGUUAAUACCCCGCUGUUCUGACGGUACCCAAAGAAUAAGCACCGGCUAACUUCGUG
Molecule: ribosomal RNA, 492 nt
Filed under: uncultured bacterium
Lineage: Bacteria
Description: partial 16S ribosomal RNA
Rfam family: Bacterial small subunit ribosomal RNA
Source: RNAcentral